Molecule: long non-coding RNA, 6683 nt
Filed under: Marmota monax (woodchuck)
Lineage: Eukaryota; Metazoa; Chordata; Mammalia; Rodentia; Sciuridae
Source: RNAcentral
UGUCCCAGCUGGAAUGAACGCCUGCACUGCGGCCCCGCAAACACCCGACACACAAAAGCACCGCCCCGGCCCACGGGCGAACCAGGAAGUCGGCUCCAGAGGCCAGCCGGCCAAGGGCAGAGCCGGGGCGCACCGGAGCGCACCGGAGAGCUCCGCCCUCCCCCGGUCGGAGAGGGGAAAGCAGGGUCGCGGGAGCCUUCGUUGCCUAGGCCGAAAGGAAGCCAAAACUUCCGGAAGUCGUAGUCCCUAGGCCCGGAAGGAGGCCGGACAGCCGGGAGUCCUAGUCCCCAGGCCCGGAAGAAGACCGAGCCCGGAAGGAGUCCGUAGUCCCCGGGCCCGGAAGGGGGCCGGACCGCCGGAAACUGGGUCUGCCAAGCCUGGGGCUCAGGGUGCAGUGUUCUCCACGAGACCGAGAGCUGGGCCGGCGACAUGGCGGGGCUGGAGCUCCUGUCUGACCAGGGUUACCGGGUGGACGGUCGUCGUGCCGGGGAGCUGCGCAAGAUCCAGGCGCGCAUGGGCGUGUUUGCGCAGGCCGACGGCUCGGCCUACAUCGAGCAGGGCAACACCAAGGCGCUGGCAGUGGUCUACGGGCCGCACGAGGCGAGUGGGCCGCGCGGGAUCGGCGGGGUCGCGGUCGCGCCUCCCGUUUACGCAACGAAUGCUCGAAGCCGCAUAUCGGCUGAGUAAAUGCCCAAGUUCUUAAGGUGCAUCUCUGGGUAUGUCCUGUCUCUCUCCUGCGCCCUGCUCUCCCUUGUCGGGUUCCUCAUCGUGCCAGGCUCUCGCCCAUUCGGUCACUUCCCCGCUGUUCUCCUCCGGCGUCAUGUUUGGGAUGCUGCCGCUCCAGGCCACAACACGCUCUGUUGCCUUUGUGUCUACCACCGGAACGUCAGCUCUACUUAAUCUUACCCGUUUGUCUUUCCACGGGAACAUAAACUCUCUGAGAGCAGCGACUUUAAAUAAAACUCUCUGAUUUUAUUGCUACGUUCUACGCUAUAACAGUGCCUCCCCAACGCAGAGAUAAUUUUUAAUUGCUUAGCAAAUUAAUGUGGGAGCCCAGUUUUCUAGAUGAAAGAAGCCAGGAUGAAGGCAAUGGGUAGAAACAAACAUGGCACUUCUGCAAAGCCGAAAGAAUGACGGUGGAGGGAGAGGAGAUAAUUCCAAAUAACGGUUUCCAGGGAGGUGAGGACUAGGGCUUUGUAGACUGGGGAAAGGAUUUGGGAUUUUAUUUCCCGUAUAACAGAAGCCUUUGGUAGGUAAGUAGAAUGUGAGUGUGUGGUGAGGCAGAAUCGGCUUGAUGUUUUUAAACAUACUGUGGCCACCACUUAGAGGAGUUGGGAGGAAAUGAAGUGAGGCAUGCACGCCAGAGGUGAUGAUGGCCUAGACUGACAAAUGGAUCUCCCUUGGAUGUUUUGGAGAUAAGGUUGCUGCCACUCUCUUGAGAAGGAGGUUGAAAGGACUAGGGAGUGUGAGCUGGGAGAGUAGGCUUGACUUAUGCAUCCUUUCUCUUCUAGAUCCGGGGUUCCAGGUCUCGAGCCCUGCCUGACCGGGCUCUGGUGAACUGUCAAUAUAGUUCAGCAACCUUCAGCACAGGUGAGCGCAAGCGGAGGCCACAUGGAGACCGUAAGUCCUGUGAGAUGGGCCUACAGCUGCGCCAGACUUUUGAGGCAGCCAUUCUUACUCAGCUGCACCCACGAUCCCAGAUUGACAUCUAUGUGCAGGUGAGCUGGCUGCAGUUUUCAACCCACCGAGGGAAGGGAACUGGAGGGUGGGAUGGCAGUUUAAUGGACUGAUAACAGCGUGGGGGGGUCCUUGCAGGUACUGCAGGCUGAUGGUGGAACCUACGCAGCUUGUGUGAAUGCCGCCACGCUGGCAGUGUUGGAUGCUGGGAUACCCAUGCGGGACUUUGUGUGUGCAUGUUCAGCUGGUUUUGUGGAAGGCACAGCCCUGGCAGACCUCAGCCAUGUGGAGGAAGCAGCUGGUGGUCCCCAACUAGCCCUGGCCCUGCUGCCAGCCUCAGGCCAGAUCGCACUGCUUGAAAUGGAUGCCCGGCUGCAUGAGGACCACUUGGAGCAGGUGCUUGAGGCCGCUGCCCAAGCAGCUAGAGAUGUGCACACCUUGUUGGACCAUGUGGUACGGCAGCAUGUGCGUGAGGCAUCUAUCUUGCUGGGGGACUGAACACCCAGCCACUUUUGUCCAGAAUAAAGUCCUGCUCCUCUGCUCAUCACUCUUUGCUGUAUAGCACUUGCAAACAGUUUGACUCUGGGGAAUGACGGGGGAGCCAACUCCACACAUGAACUAUAUCUCUUGUGGCCUCAGGACUCAAACCUCCAGAAGGAUAGGUGGUGUAGGGGUAUCUGGGUGGAGAAAGCAAUCUGUUGGUGAGAGGUGAGAAAAAUCAAGCCUCAGACCAAGGAGUUUGCCAUCCUCAGUCCAGUCCCUCCAGAACCUGAGUACAAGGAUUAAAAGAAACCUUGACUGGCUAUAGGUAGGGCCAAUGCCUCCCCCUAGGAGCACCUUGGGCCUUUUCCUACUGCUUACCUUGGGCUCUAAACUACAGGAGACUCCUCUGCUCACUUGAUCUUUUCUCCUGAGUUUCGACAUUUUCCCCAGCCUAAAAUUGUACCCCCUUCAGCAAGCUCCCCUUCAUCCACCGCCUGCGUUGGCCACCAACUCUCCUCCUAUGCCAGGGACUUGCUGGCCUGGACAAAACAGUACGCUCCUUACUAGCUACUCCAUAUACACAGGCCUGUCUUAUUAGUAGAUUUGCAUCUUCCCUGUGGGUCUUCUAUCUACCCAUGAAGACCUUAGUUCAGAACCCAUGUGACACCACUGUGAUUUCAUUUUCAGUGACUGACAUCCAUAAGAAUGAUUCUUAAACGCCUGAACCUCAGUCCACACUGUAGUCAUUCACAGCCUCUGUGGCAGGCGUGGUGCUCUGAGCACCUCCACCUACCUUUCCUGACAAUCGUCUCCGAUUUCUGUGAGCCUUCCAACUGGAGCUUUAUCACUGCUCCCGAUACCCUGGUGUCGGCCUUGUCUCUGCUCCCUGCUGGUACUGCGCAGGGCCGGUCCAGCCCUUCCGGAGGCCGAUCCCGGAGACCAGACUCCAGUCGCAUAGGUUCCGGCUCCCUGCUGGUACUGCGCAGGGUCGGUCCAGCCCUUCCGGAUGCCGAUCCCGGAGACCAGACUCCAGUCGCACAGGUUCCGGCUCCCUGCAACCCUAGGGCCUCCAGCAGCCGAGCUGGAGAAAGGUUCUGCUUUGCGCACGCGCAGCGGCGCGAAUUUCAGUGGGACCGGAAGUGCGGCUGGGUUUAGGUUCGGGGUCUGACAGGAGCAACUCGCGCUCCGCGGCUGGAGCUGGCUGCGAGAGCAGGGUCCCGCGUCGCCCUCCCGCCAUGGGCCUCCUGUCGGACCCCGUGCGCCGGCGCGCGCUCGCCCGUCUCGUGCUGCGCCUCAACGCGCCGCUCUGGUGAGGGUGGGCUGGGCUGGGGUCCCUGCGCUGCUCGCGCCCUUCUCCUUCGGUCCACGUCCCGCGGGGGAUGCGGGGACCCGGAGUCUAGGUUUCCAGGCCCCUCACACCUGCCCGUUCGGCCCCUGGUUUGGAGCUGGUGGCCACAGUCGGCGUCCCAGAUCACGCUAACGCUCCGGCUGCUCCCUCUGACCCCUCGCAGCGUGCUGAGCUACGUGGCGGGCAUCGCCUGGUUCUUGGCUCUGGCCUUCCCGCCGUUGACCCAGCGUACUUACAUGUCGGAGAACGCCAUGGGAUCCACCAUGGUGGAGGAGCAGUUUGUGGGCGGAGACCGUGCCCGGGGCUUUGCCCGCGAUUUCGCUGCCCACCGCAGGAAGUCGGGGUGAGCCGCAGAGCAGCGGGUAGGGGAAAAGUAGUGGUGGCCAAGGCCAGGGAGCUCCGUUCAGAGGCUGUCUUUGUGUCUCCAGGGCUCUACCAGUGGCCUGGCUGCAGCGGACGAUGCGUACAGUAGGGCUGGAGGUCUACACGCAGAGUUUCUCUCGGAAACUGCCCUUCCCGGAUGAGACCCACGAGCGCUAUGUAUUGAGGAAGGGUGGGGGUGAGGGUGCUUGGGAUAGAAAAGCGCUGUGAAGGGGUCACCUGGGGCCAAGAAUCCUAAUGGGAGGGAUGAUCUGGGGCCAGGGAAAUCCCUGCUUUGCAGAUUGUAGGGCCAAGGAAAGGUGGUGGUGGAGGCUUUGACUUUCUACAUACUAGGGUUGCUCUGAGGCUCCUUCACCAAUGCAUUGUACAGAUGGUAUCAGGCACCAACGUGUAUGGCAUCCUACGGGCCCCACGUGCUGCCAGCACCGAGUCUCUGGUGCUCACUGUACCCUGUAACUCUGACUCCACCAAUAGCCAGGCUGUUGGACUGCUGCUGGCACUUGCUGCCCAUUUCCGAGGUGAGACUCCAGGGCUGCUGCCCAGGGAGGGUUUGGCCAGUGCUUCAGUCCUGCUUACCUUAUGUCUGACCUCCAGGGCAGAUUUACUGGGCCAAAGAUAUCAUCUUUCUGGUGACAGAACAUGAUCUUCUGGGCACUGAGGCUUGGCUUGAAGCCUACCACGACGUUAAUGUAACUGGUAGGUGCUCUUGUCUUCUCCUGGUCUCUCUCGGGGUCAAUUGUUCUCACCAGUGUCUCCUCUGGUGUUUAUUUGCUUGCCCCUACAGGCAUGCAGUCAUCCCCAUUGCAGGGCCGGGCUGGAGCCAUUCAGGCAGCUGUGGCCCUGGAGUUGAGCAGUGAUGUGGUUACCAGCCUUGAUGUGACUGUGGAGGGUCUCAAUGGACAGCUGCCCAACCUUGACCUGCUCAACCUUUUCCAGACCUUCUGCCAGAAAGGGGGGCUGCUAUGCACACUUCAGGGCAAGGUUUGACCACUUGCUGAGGUAUAGGGCCUUUGGUGAGGGGUUUAUCUAAUCCUGUUCCCAUCCCUACUCUGCCCUCUCACCAUCCCUCCAAAGCUUCAGCUCCAGGAUUGGACAACGCUGGAUGGGCCAUUGCAGGGCCUGCAGACACUGCUGCUGAUGGUUCUGCGGCAGGCCUCUGGCCGCCCCCAUGGCCCUCAUGGCCUCUUUCUGCGGUACCGGGUAGAGGCCCUGACCCUUCGGGGCAUCAAUAGCUUCCGGCAGUACAAGUAUGACUUGGUGGCUGUUGGCAAGUAAGUAGCCUCUGAUUCCCUCUUUGCGUUCUCAGGGAAGUGUCCAACUGGUACACGGAGGGAGUGACUGACUUUGUCCUGCUAUGCACCUGACAGGGCUCUGGAGGGCAUGUUCCGAAAGCUCAACCACCUGCUGGAGCGCCUACACCAGUCAUUCUUCUUCUACCUGCUUCCUGCUCUAUCUCGCUUUGUCUCCAUUGGUCUCUACAUGCCUGCUGCUGGCUUCUUGCUCCUGGUCCUUGGUCUCAAGAUAUCCUCUGUCCCCCAACUAUUCACUCAUGGACAGCCUUGGAGCCCCUCAACUCUGCAUCAUCCUACUCUGGGAUUGGGGUGGGAAAGUCCUGGGUUCCCCACCUGGCAGAUCUCAUCACACUGUCAUUGAGGUCCUUGACUUGGGCCAUGCUCUGGAGCUGUGGAUGCAGUUGCAUGAAGCUGGAGUGGGCUCUGAAGAGGCUGGGGGUGCUCCUGGACCGAGUACCCAACUUCCCCCAGCACAGGUGAUGAUGCCCCUAUCUGCUGUUGGGUGGGCUUCUAGGAUCCUGAGUAGUGUCUUCUACUGCCACUCAACCUCAGCUGGAAUAGUGGUUUUCUGGCCCCAGGGCCUAUCUCAAGGUGCCCGUAUACUAUACCCUGCAGGGUGUGGGGCUGGCCUCGCUUGUAGCACCCCUGCUGAUCUCUCAGACCAUGGGCCUGGCCCUCUACAUCCUGCCUGUGUUGGGUCAACAUGUGGCCGCCCAACACUUCCCAGUGGCUGAGGCUGAGGCUGUGGUGCUGACACUGCUGGCAAUUUAUGCAGCUGGCCUGGCUCUUCCUCACAACACCCACCGGUGAGUGACUAGGCUUGGGCAGGUGGCACAGGGCCCCCCUGGACAUGUAGGCAGUUCUUGGGCUUCCUCUGAGCCUUUUGCCUUUUAGGGUAAUGAGCACACAGGCCUCAGACAGGGGAUGGAUGGCACUGAAACUGGUGGCUCUGAUCUACCUAGCACUACAGCUAGGUUGCAUCACCCUCACCAACUUCUCCCUGGGUUUCCUGCUAGCUGCCACCAUGGUACCUGCUGCUGCACUCACCAGACCCUAUGGGCCUCGGUAUGUAUUCAUCAGCCCCCACCUCCCCCAGUGCCUGUGCCCUUCACCCAGAGUCCUUGGUCAUUCUGUUCUCUGUCCCCACCAUCUGUGGAACAUACCCCGACGAUGCCUCUCCACCCAGGCCACUCUAUGCUGCCCUACUGGUGCUGACAAGCCCAGCAGCCAUGCUCCUGGGCAGCCUGUUCCUGUGGCGGGAGCUACAGGAGACACCGCUGUCACUUGCUGAGGGGUGGCAGCUUUUCCUCGUGGCACUGGCCCAGGGCGUGCUGGAGCACCACACCUAUGGUGCCUUGCUCUUCCCACUGCUCUCCUUGGGCCUGUACCCUUGUUGGCUGCUCUUCUGGAAUGUGCUCUUCUGGAAGUGAGGUCUGCUACCUGGGCACAAAGGCUGGGGCAGGGCUCUCCAAGCCCUCACCAUUUUUCCUCCUCCCUGGGAA